GACGAACGCUGGCGGCGCGCUUAACACAUGCAAGUCGAACGGAAAGGCCUGCUUUCCCUUGUGGAUUGCGGGUACUCGAGUGGCGAACGGGUGAGUAACACGUGAGUGAUCUGCCCCCAACUUGGGUAUAAGCCUGGGAAACUGGGUCUAAUUCCCGAUAGGACUGCAGGGUGGUGCCUGUGGUGGAAAACUAUUUUCUAGUGGUUGGGGAUGAGCUCGCGGCCUAUCAGCUUGUUGGUGGGGUAAUGGCCUACCAAGGCGGCGACGGGUAGCCGGCCUGAGAGGGUGGACGGCCACAUUGGGACUGAGAUACGGCCCAGACUCCUACGGGAGGCAGCAGUGGGGAAUAUUGCACAAUGGGCGGAAGCCUGAUGCAGCGACGCCGCGUGGGGGAUGACGGCCUUCGGGCUGUAAACUCCUUUCGACCGCGAGGAAGCCACCUGGUUGGAAGGGUGGUGACGGUAGUGGUAGAAGAAGCACCGGCUAACUACGUG
RNAcentral lists this ribosomal RNA (494 nucleotides) under uncultured bacterium. RNAcentral describes it as "partial 16S ribosomal RNA". It matches the Rfam family "Bacterial small subunit ribosomal RNA", at positions 28 to 507 of the family's 1533-position model. The record is from RNAcentral.